RNAcentral lists this ribosomal RNA (253 nucleotides) under uncultured bacterium. RNAcentral describes it as "partial 16S ribosomal RNA". It matches the Rfam family "Bacterial small subunit ribosomal RNA", at positions 524 to 776 of the family's 1533-position model. The record is from RNAcentral.
UACGUAGGGACCAAGCGUUGUUCGGAUUUACUGGGCGUAAAGGGCGCGUAGGCGGCGCGGUAAGUCACUUGUGAAAUCUCUGAGCUUAACUCAGAACGGCCAAGUGAUACUGCAGUGCUAGAGUGUGGAAGGGGCAAUCGGAAUUCUUGGUGUAGCGGUGAAAUGCGUAGAUAUCAAGAGGUACACCUGAGGUGAAGACGGGUUGCUGGGCCAACACUGACGCUGAGGCGCGAAAGCCAGGGGAGCAAACGGG